This 127-nucleotide small RNA is filed under the name Marmota monax (woodchuck). The record is from RNAcentral. Lineage: Eukaryota; Metazoa; Chordata; Mammalia; Rodentia; Sciuridae.
GCUGGGCAUGAUGGCUCAUGCCUGUAAUCCCAGCAGCUUGGGAGGCUGAGGCAGGAGGAUCAUGAGUUCAUAAACCAGCCUCAGCAACUUAGCAAGGCCCUAAUCAACUCUGUAGACCCUGUCUCUA